This 253-nucleotide ribosomal RNA is filed under the name uncultured bacterium. RNAcentral describes it as "partial 16S ribosomal RNA". It matches the Rfam family "Bacterial small subunit ribosomal RNA", at positions 524 to 776 of the family's 1533-position model. The record is from RNAcentral.
UACGUAGGACGCAAACGUUGUCCGGAUUUACUGGGUGUAAAGGGUGCUCAGGCGGUCUUGUAAGUCAAUGGUGAAAUCUCCCGACUUAAUCGGGAAACUGCCUUUGAUACUGUAAGGCUUGAGUGCAGAAGAGGCGGAUGGAAUUUCUGGUGUAGCAGUGAAAUGCGUAGAUAUCAGAAAGAACACCAGUGGCGAAGGCGGUCCGCUGGUCUGUCACUGACGCUAAAGCACGAAAGCGUGGGGAGCAAACAGG